This 1374-nucleotide ribosomal RNA is filed under the name uncultured bacterium. RNAcentral describes it as "bacterial SSU rRNA". It matches the Rfam family "Bacterial small subunit ribosomal RNA", at positions 28 to 1381 of the family's 1533-position model. The record is from RNAcentral.
GAUGAACGCUGGCGGCGUGCCUAAUACAUGCAAGUCGAGCGAACGGACGAGAAGCUUGCUUCUCUGAUGUUAGCGGCGGACGGGUGAGUAACACGUGGAUAACCUACCUAUAAGACUGGGAUAACUUCGGGAAACCGUAGCUAAUACCGGAUAAUAUUUUGAACCGCAUGGUUCAAAAGUGAAAGACGGUCUUGCUGUCACUUAUAGAUGGAUCCGCGCUGCAUUAGCUAGUUGGUAAGGUAACGGCUUACCAAGGCAACGAUGCAUAGCCGACCUGAGAGGGUGAUCGGCCACACUGGAACUGAGACACGGUCCAGACUCCUACGGGAGGCAGCAGUAGGGAAUCUUCCGCAAUGGGCGAAAGCCUGACGGAGCAACGCCGCGUGAGUGAUGAAGGUCUUCGGAUCGUAAAACUCUGUUAUUAGGGAAGAACAUAUGUGUAAGUAACUGUGCACAUCUUGACGGUACCUAAUCAGAAAGCCACGGCUAACUACGUGCCAGCAGCCGCGGUAAUACGUAGGUGGCAAGCGUUAUCCGGAAUUAUUGGGCGUNAAGCGCGCGUAGGCGGUUUUUUAAGUCUGAUGUGAAAGCCCACGGCUCAACCGUGGAGGGUCAUUGGAAACUGGAAAACUUGAGUGCAGAAGAGGAAAGUGGAAUUCCAUGUGUAGCGGUGAAAUGCGCAGAGAUAUGGAGGAACACCAGUGGCGAAGGCGACUUUCUGGUCUGUAACUGACGCUGAUGUGCGAAAGCGUGGGGAUCAAACAGGAUUAGAUACCCUGGUAGUCCACGCCGUAAACGAUGAGUGCUAAGUGUUAGGGGGUUUCCGCCCCUUAGUGCUGCAGCUAACGCAUUAAGCACUCCGCCUGGGGAGUACGCCCGCAAGGUUGAAACUCAAAGGAAUUGACGGGGACCCGCCCAAGCGGGGGGAGCAUGUGGUUUAAAUUCGAAGCAACGCGAAGACCCUUCCCAAAUCUUGACAUCCUUUGACAACUCUAGAGAUAGAGCCUUCCCCUUCGGGGGACAAAGUCACAGGUGGUGCAUGGUUGUCGUCAGCUCGUGUCGUGAGAUGUUGGGUUAAGUCCCGCAACGAGCGCAACCCUUAAGCUUAGUUGCCAUCAUUAAGUUGGGCACUCUAAGUUGACUGCCGGUGACAAACCGGAGGAAGGUGGGGAUGACGUCAAAUCAUCAUGCCCCUUAUGAUUUGGGCUACACACGUGCUACAAUGGACAAUACAAAGGGCAGCGAAACCGCGAGGUCAAGCAAAUCCCAUAAAGUUGUUCUCAGUUCGGAUUGUAGUCUGCAACUCGACUACAUGAAGCUGGAAUCGCUAGUAAUCGUAGAUCAGCAUGCUCCGGAGAGUACGUUCCCGGGUCU